UCACCAUUUUCGGUGCACAGAGGCACAAUUCACAAUUUAAGUGGCAGUUAAACCAUCAACACCAGUCUCAUUUCAGUAACCAAUUAGAACAGUCAGCUGCCAAAACAACAGAAACUCAGCCAGAGGAAGCAGAAACAAGUUACUUCAGCAAGCAGAGUAACAUACUGAAGAAUACAGAAAACAGAUCUUACUGACAAGUACUCUUAUUCUACCUGACCAAACUCAGAACCUGGUGGGAAAUAGUAAGAAAACAUAAAAGGAGACCGAAGGAGACUAAAUACAUAGAGAAUCAGAACUUAAGAGAAGAACAAAACAGAACAGAAAAUUUUCUUGAGACUGAUAACAGAAAAGGCAAAUAAGAAUCUACUGCUGUAUACUUAAAUUUCCUCUGUUAUUUGUGAUCUCUGGAAUUUUGCACUGGUUUUAACAUGACAUUUCAAAAUAUCUCUGUUUUCCAAAUUGCCAUAUUGGACUUUUUCCACAGCUUUACUCUACUAGGCAAACUAGUUCUAACCAUCUAUAUGUAGCUAUUUUGACAUAUAUGCUAUUUAUAUGUUACUUUAAAAUUUAUUUUCUUUAUAGUUACUUACUUUUUCUCCUAAAAAUACACAUAAGAUUAGUGUUUAUCUAGGAAAUGCAGAAGUUCUUCUGGAUUUUUUGUCUUGUGACUACUGAUAAGUUUAGAUUCUUACUGCAUCUGAAAAAAAUUACCUGCCUUUCACUUGAAGGCAUUCACACUGGUGUCAAGAUGUGUCAAGAUCUUUUGCUGUGCCACCUCCACUGAAAGGCUGUCAAGGUGAAAACAUUACAUGUCAUCCUAGCUUCCCACGCUACAUCCAAUUUUAAUUUACUCUUAAAUUGCCACAUAUCUUGUGAGCACUUGUGAGUAUUCACAGUGUAUCACAAGAUAUUAUAAUACACUGUGAAUACAUUGUAUUCUAUUAAGUAGAUGUUUAUAAUCCAUGUUUCCUUCAAAAAUAAAAAAAUUGAGGAAUACAGCAAAAUGAAGGAA
Pezoporus flaviventris is the source of this 1012-nucleotide long non-coding RNA. RefSeq lists it as uncharacterized. Lineage: Eukaryota; Metazoa; Chordata; Aves; Psittaciformes; Psittacidae. The record is from RefSeq and is a predicted model, not a curated record. The transcript has 3 exons.